GACGAACGCUGGCGGCGUGCUUAACACAUGCAAGUCGAGCGGUAAGGCCCUUUCGGGGGUACACGAGCGGCGAACGGGUGAGUAACACGUGGGUGACCUGCCCUCAGCUCUGGGAUAAGCCUGGGAAACCGGGUCUAAUACUGGAUAUGACUCCAUGACGCAUGUUGUGGGGUGGAAAGCCUUGUGCGGCUGAGGAUGGGCCCCGCGGCCUAUCAGCUUGGUUGGUGGGGUGANGGCCUACCAAGGCGACGACGGGUAGCCGGCCUGAGAGGGCGACCGGCCACACUGGGGCUGAGACACGGCCCAGACUCCUACGGGAGGCAGCAGUGGGGAAUCUUGCGCAAGUAGGGCGAAAGCCUGACGCAGCGACGCCGCGUGA
This 379-nucleotide ribosomal RNA is filed under the name uncultured bacterium. Its description in RNAcentral is "bacterial SSU rRNA". It matches the Rfam family "Bacterial small subunit ribosomal RNA", at positions 28 to 404 of the family's 1533-position model. The record is from RNAcentral.